RNAcentral lists this ribosomal RNA (253 nucleotides) under uncultured prokaryote. Its description in RNAcentral is "partial 16S ribosomal RNA". It matches the Rfam family "Bacterial small subunit ribosomal RNA", at positions 525 to 777 of the family's 1533-position model. The record is from RNAcentral.
ACAGAGGGGGCAAGCGUUGUUCGGAAUUACUGGGCGUAAAGGGCGCGUAGGCGGCCUGUUAAGUCAGACGUGAAAUCCCUCGGCUCAACCGGGGAACUGCGUCUGAUACUGGCGGGCUUGAAUUCGGGAGAGGGAUGUGGAAUUCCAGGUGUAGCGGUGAAAUGCGUAGAUAUCUGGAGGAACACCGGUGGCGAAGGCGGCAUCCUGGACCGACAUUGACGCUGAGGCGCGAAAGCCAGGGGAGCAAACGGGA